UUCCCCGACACUAUAAUCUACAGUCUGUCUUCCAAUUCCAAAUCCCUAACCCUAUCGUGCCUUGACUUCCUUGACUGCCGAUCCACCUCCACCGUCAAGACCUCCACCGAUCCACCUCCGGUCCUCCACCCACUUCUAGAAUCAAUCGUUUAAGGGUUUGUUUCUUCCCGAAUCGCCAAGUAGAAGCAAGCAUACAAGAACGAGGAGUUUGGUACAGGCAUUAGGUACCAGAUUCACUCAAUUUGUACAGCCUGUAUUUCAGAGGUGCAUGAAUAUCAUCCAGACUCAACAAUUGGGUAAGAAACAAUCGACAUUGAAAUCGAUUUGGCAUACCUUAGCUUCCUUUCCUGACUUCAAUUUUUAUGACUAUGGCUAGUUCGAACACUCCUAUACCUGUGGACGAUGGGUUUAAUGAGUACGAAAGUGCUGUCAAACAUCAAAAGUCCACCACUUCAAAGGUGUGGGAUGAAAUGACAAAGCUUGAAUGCGAGAACAAAAAUGAAUUGAAGGUACAAUGUAAUCACUGUAAGACUAUCUUCUCUGCUAAGUCUUCUAGUGGAACCUCUCAUUUAAGACGUCAUCUAAAUAGCUGUUUGAAAAAAGUUAAUAAGGACAUCACUCAAUACACCAUAGCCACUCAACCAUCGCCAGAAGGUGUUCCAUUUAUAAAAAAAACUACAAGUUUGAUGCUGAUGAGUGUCGUCAAGCUAUUUCUACUUUUCUUGUGUGUGGCAAGCAUUCAUUUAGGACAGUUGAAGAACCGGGAUUUAGAUACAUGAUGAGAAUUGCUAGUCCUAAUUUUAAGAGUAUAAGUAGACAAACAGCUACUAGGGAUGUCCUAAAGUAUUAUGCAAAAGAGAGAGAUCAUGUUAAAGAAGAGUUGGCUAGAGCACCUGGUUUAAUUUGUCUAACUUCUGAUAAUUGGAAUUCGGAGCAUACUAAUGAUGAAUAUAUUUGCAUUACUGCUCAUUGGGUUGACAAAGAUUGGAAGCUACAAAAGAGAAUCAUAAGGUUUAGAGCUUUAUUUCCUCCGUAUGAUGGUUUGAACAUAGCGGAUGAACUUGUUUUAUGUUUAUCUCAAUGGGGUAUAGAUAAGAAAAAUUUUAGCAUCACUUUGGACAAUGCUUCUUAUAAUGAUGUUAUGGUUUCUUGUCUUAAAAAUUGUUUUCGUGCAAACCGAGCUAUUUUGUGUGAUGGUGCUUUUUUUCAAGUUAGAUGUUGUGCACAUAUAUUGAAUCUUAUAGUUAAAGCUGG
Molecule: long non-coding RNA, 1254 nt
Organism: Gossypium raimondii (Peruvian cotton)
Lineage: Eukaryota; Viridiplantae; Streptophyta; Magnoliopsida; Malvales; Malvaceae
Exons: 4
Source: RefSeq, a predicted model, not a curated record